GGGGAAUAUUGCGCAAUGGGGGAAACCCUGACGCAGCGACGCCGCGUGUGGGAAGAAGGCCUUCGGGUCGUAAACCACUGUCAAGAGGGAAGAACCGCAUGGAUUCGAAUAGGGUCCGUGCCUGACGGUACCUCUGGAGGAAGCACCGGCUAACUCCGUGCCAGCAGCCGCGGUAAUACGGAGGGUGCAAGCGUUAAUCGGAAUCACUGGGCGUAAAGCGCACGUAGGCUGUUUUGCAAGUCAGGUGUGAAAGCCCUCGGCUCAACCGAGGAAUUGCACUUGAAACUGCAGGACUAGAGUACUGGAGAGGGUGGCGGAAUUCCCGGUGUAGGAGUGAAAUCCGUAGAUAUCGGGAGGAACACCAGUGGCGAAGGCGGCCACCUGGACAGAUACUGACGCUGAGGUGCGAAAGCGUGGGGAGCAAAC
This 426-nucleotide ribosomal RNA is filed under the name uncultured bacterium. RNAcentral's name for it is "bacterial SSU rRNA". It matches the Rfam family "Bacterial small subunit ribosomal RNA", at positions 356 to 773 of the family's 1533-position model. The record is from RNAcentral.